UGGGGGUGUUGGGGACUCUGCAGCACGGCCCUGAGAGGGUGUGCAUCAGGAAUCUCAGUCAUAAGCAACAGAAAUCAGUAGGUUAGAGUGGAAAACAAGUAUACUGAAAAGAUACUGGGUAGCUCAGAGAAGGGCUAGGACUAGAAAAUCCGACCUGGAGGAGACAGGGAUAAACAAUACAGGGCAGCGCUGCUUGUACUGCCCGCUCUGGACCGUGGGCACUGCAGCCACCACGCCCACACUCGUGACACUGCGGGCGAGCGUGACUGUCGUUCUGUCACAGCUGGGAAGGGUCCUUUGUUUGUUUGUUUCAUUAACUCUCAGGUCUGACUCUAGGGCAGUGCUUUUGAUUAGGCUGAGUCUAAAAGAUAAAACGAGAGAGAGAAAGAUAUCUAGAGAACUCUUCUCUACCUCGACUUAAUCUCCUUCUUUGACUUCUAUCAUCUGAAUUUUUCCCACACAUUUUAUUUAUUUAUUUUUUGGCUGCACUGCUCGGCAUGUGGCAUCUUAGUUCCCCAACCAGGGAUUGAACCCUCACCCCCCGUGGCUUCCACACACACUUUAUAAAGAAGAGAUCUGAACUGUCACCAUAGUGGAAGCUGUGGUGCCCACCCAGAUCCCCAGCCAGUCGCUGGGUGCUGGCGGCUAACACGUACAUCAUGGCUGCGCCUUUUCCUCCCCUUCUCAGGACAACUGCCCUUGACUGACAAGAGCUGCCUGCUGGGACGUUACAAGCUCUUUUCCCUAGGAGGAGCGGGCAGCUCCAGCCACUGACUGACUGAUAACGGGACUACAAACUGGCCCCCGUGCCUCAGAGUAGGUUACAUUCCAGAGUCCCCCUCAGCCCUUACCUGAGACCACAACCUUCACCUGAGUUAGUACUUACCUUACACACACCCUUACUUGGAGCUUCCAUUCCCCGUACCUGUUUUGCCUCCUUUUCUCACUUGCCGGUUUUUCUUAAAAACAACCUCUCAAUAAAUUACAAGCACCCAGUACCUUGUCUGAGGCGCUACGUCCCCAGUCCCACCUGCAAUAUCAUUUCUCUUCGAGCCCUGCAGUCUAAGAUGUCUUCUCUUCUGCUUCCUGGGCAGACAAGUUACAGUGAUGAGGGGCAGGCAGGAGAGAGAAGUCAGGCUCUCCAGCCAGAGAGACAGGUCUUAACCCAGUAAUCACGCCCAUAGCUGUAGGAUAGUGAUUGAGACAAAUCUUGUGAAGGAAAGGCUGUAUGAGAGGAUCCAUCCCAGUCAAGAUGUCGGGAAGGCUUCCCUGAGGAAGUGAAGAAAUUCUCCGUUGGGGCUAUCAGCUUGGCCUGAGAGCUCUGUGAAGUGAAGUUGAGUAAAAGUGUAAAGCGGGUAAACAGAGCCUUCCUAUACAAAGGCCCCGAGCCAGGAGGGGAUACGGGAUGAAACAAGGCCGUUGAGAUUGGAGCCGAGAAAGGCGGUGGCACUGAGGAUGUGGGGGCAGAGGGGGCUGACUCAGCUUUUUAGGGAAUCUGGUCUUCAUCCUAAAACAAAACAAGUGUUGGAGGGUAUCCCGCUCCUGGGAGAGGGGUAAAGGGACACGGUCCGUCUGUGGCUGGGAAGAUCUCUCUGGCUGCAACACAGAGAAAGGGUAGGAAAGGGGCAGCUGGGUGAGUUGGUGAGGGGCUCCACAGAAGAGUGAGGAGAGCUCUUGGGGUGCAGGGCUGGCAGUGGGGAGGGGCCACAGAUCUGGAAGAUCUUUAGGAGUGAUGUUAGCAAGAUUUGGUGAUGGGUUUUACGGGGCGGAGGCAGGAGAGGGAAUUGUCAAGGAUGACAUCUGAGUUUCUGGUUUUAGUAUCUGGAGGGAUUGUAGGAAAAGCUGGGAGAGCCGAGGGCAGGCGGCCACAGACCUCUGCAUUCCUCUGAAGUAAAGGAAAGAGAAGAGAAACCAAAUGCAGAUGCCUUUCAUCUGUGUCCCCCGCCCUCAAUAGGGUCACCUACACACUAUCUCUCAGGCAAGGUGGCUGGCUGUCCAAUGGGGUUUUGUAUACUGGGGAAGUAUCCCAACCAGUGGUCUCAGAUGACAAAGGGUGUCCUUCCACUCCUUAUUUUUAAAAAGAAAGUAAAUAUGUGUAUAACCGAGUCACUUUGUUGUACAGCAGAGACUGGCACAACAUUGUAAAUCAACUGUACUUCAGCAAAAUUAAAAGGAUAGGAAUAAAAGGAAUAUACAUUUCCUCAGUCAGUCCAUCAUUACCUUGAACAAACUCCUACUACGUUUAUGAUAAAGAUAAUGCAAUUAUUUUUUUNNNNNNNNNNNNNNNNNNNNNNNNNNNNNNNNNNNNNNNNNNNNNNNNNNNNNNNNNNNNNNNNNNNNNNNNNNNNNNNNNNNNNNNNNNNNNNNNNNNAAUGCAAUUAUUUUUUUUAAAAAACCAGCCUUCCAAAUUUUUAUGGACCUUAAAAAAUAAUAAAUGCAUUCACCACGGCAUAGUCAAAAGUUACAAAAAAUAAGAACCCCUGCUCUAAAGCUUUCUUGGUUCAGGGAUUUUUGCCAGAUAAAAAACAAAUGCCUUCAGGAUAGUUAGUGCUCUAAAAUGUCACUGUCACUUUUAUUUUGGUGUCUGUUCAGAUCGUUUUAUGAAAAUGAGUCCCUGUGAAAGGAAAUGGGAGACUGUGAGAGCACUAGUCACUUGAGAAAGAUCAGGAGGCACCAGAUUGGGAAAGGAGGCUGGAGAGUGGAGGACCAAGGACAUCUCAGCUUUCCCAGUGACAAGCUGUAGGAGAAUUGGUCUGUCAUCAAGGGCAGGGCCCGAGUCAGGUGUCUGAUCCUUUGUGGCAUCUCUGUGGCCCAGGUCAUACAGCGCGUGUCCUAGUGCAUUGCAGAAAUCAGUGGGCCCCUUUUCUCCUUCAGAUCUCUUUUCCCACCUGCAACCCCAUUCAUUAACUCAGCAAGUACAUAUGGAGUUAAAACGUGUACCAGGAAACACACUAAGUGUAAGCAAGGACUCUGCAUGCAUGGAAGUUACAUUCUCUUCUGGAAUGGAUGUGAAGAUAGACAAUAAACAAUAAACAAAACCAAGAUCAUUGCAUAUCUUGUUGAGUGUGGCCAAGAAAUAAACAGGAAAUGGGAGAAAGUGCUCAGGAGUGUUUUAGAUAGAGUUACCAGGGAAGUCAGCUCUGAGUGAGUAACAUCUGAGCUCUACUCGAUGAAGAUGAAGUCAUAGGUGAGAAGGGUCUGGCCUCAUUAAAUAAUGAAAAUGAAGUCAUAGAUGAGAAGGGCUUAGCCUCAUUAAAUUCCAGGGGGAGAACAUUCCAAGCAGAGGAGAAUAAUACUCAAAGCCCAGGAGAUAGGAAAGAGGUUCCUCAUAAAAAUUAGGCUGGUGCAGCUGAAGAACAUGGAUUGAGGAGGAGAGUUGUGUGAGAUGAGAUUGGUAAAUUAGGUGAAGCAGAUCACUUAGGACCUUAGGUGAUCAGGGCUUAGUCGGGAAAGAGAGAAAUCAAACCAGUUAUUUUAAAAGAGAGAAUUCUAUGUAAACAAUUGUUAACUAGGUAACUGAAAAGGCUAAAAACAUAGAGUUAAGGUAUCAUGAAACUACAGGUUCAGGAAGCAGCUAACGUCCCUAGAGCUGAAGGAACAAAGGGAAAGUAUGCUUUUGUUAGAACUCACAAACUUGGAGGCGGGGACCCUCAGAGCUGAAUUUCUGGACCUUAGAGAAGGGGAUGUGGCUGAGCUUCUGUUAAUGUUUCUAAGUUCAGAGGAGGGGGCCUCUCAAGCCUGGACCCAGAACUCAGAGAAGAAGGAGGCACUAGCCAACUAGUGCUGAUAUUUCUGUGGGUCAUGAUAAGGCUGGUUUUGUGUGCAUCAGAAAAACUGAAAACUAGACUUGACUGUUGCUAAGAAGAGGGGCAGUCACUGACGGAAUGAAGAAAAGGUGAUGUGUUCAGAAAAAGGAAGCAGACAGGAGGCAGUGAGGAAUAGCUCCCUUCUUCCUCCUCUGAAUUUACAGUCUCAUUCUACCACCCUAUUGGCAAGGGACUAAAAAAGAAAAAAGCUGUCAAAAACAAAAAUAGAAUUUUUAGACCCUCAGAUCCAGAAAAACAAAUUUAGAAUAAAAGGAUGAGUUUAGACCUGAGAGGCAAUAGACGAAUAAUCGACACAGAUCGUGUGUCCCACAAAAAAUAGGAAUUUGGGUUUUAAGAGCAGUGGGAAGACACUGGUUGGUUUUAAGUGCAAGUCGGUAUGAUGAGAUUUUUCCUUUGAGAAUAUCUCUCAGGCUACUGUGUAGGAAGCAGAGCAGAGACAAGCAGAAUCAGAAUCAAGAUGACCAGUUAAGAAGCUCUAGCAGUUUCUAUAUUAUGCAUUCAAGUUUUUUAAUAAUUACAGAGUAUUUAAAUGAUUUUUAUUGGGUGAAAUGUGUUUUGGGGGAAACUGUGCAAUAUUUAUCUAAGUUGUCAAAAUUUCUCCAGGCAAGAAUACUGGAGUGGGUAGCCAUUCCCUUCUCCAGGGNNNNNNNNNNNNNNAGGGAUUGAACCCAGGUCUCCUGCAUUGGCAGGCAGAUUCUUUACCAUCUCAGCCUCCAGGCAAAAUAGUAGAUGCUUGCUUUGUGGGAUAUUUUCAUUAUAAAACUACACGUGUUAUGUAGGUUUUUUGAGAUGCAACUAACAAAUGUUCACUAGAAUAAACUCAGAUAUUCAGGCCCUAUUAUUAUCAUGCCCAUGAAAAUAAAGAUGGGAACUUUCCUAAUAGGGUCAGCCAAAGAGCCACAUUACUUUAAUGUAGUUUUGAGGAAAUUUCAGUGGGUGUAUGCUCCAUGGAAUCCAAUGACCCUAACUAAACUAUGAUUAUUUCUUAUAACACUAUUUGGCUUAGGACAUAGAACACAAUGCUAGCCCAUGACUCACUGUGAAGGGGCAAAGGCAUAUAUCAAUUUGAAAGUCUGGCUUAAAUGAAAGAACAAUUUUAGAUUAUGUAGGAAAAUGAGUUGACUACAUAUUCUUCAGACCAUCAUUCAUACAUAUUAUUUUUGUAACCAAACUUUUGAUAUGUAGUCAUGCCGUUAUNNNNNNNNNNNNNNNNNNNNNNNNNNNNNNNNNNNNNNNNNNNNNNNNNNNNNNNNNNNNNAUUAUUUAAAUGAAUGAGAGCCAUUUUAUGUUGCUGAUGAAGAACAUGCUUUAAUUAGAGAUAGGUCACUU
This 5156-nucleotide long non-coding RNA is filed under the name Capra hircus (goat). RNAcentral's name for it is "lncRNA (ENSCHIG00010016874.1)". Lineage: Eukaryota; Metazoa; Chordata; Mammalia; Artiodactyla; Bovidae. The record is from RNAcentral.